Molecule: ribosomal RNA, 1202 nt
Filed under: Epiperipatus sp. ony162
Lineage: Eukaryota; Metazoa; Onychophora; Udeonychophora; Euonychophora; Peripatidae
Description: SSU rRNA
Source: RNAcentral
UAGUUGGAUUUGGGUCGACCGGGCCGCCGGGCCGCCGCCUCCGUGUGGCGAGUUCCCGUGUGUCCCCGGGACCGCACGUUCACCCCCGCAGUGCUCUUAACUGAGUGUCUGCGGUAGCGGGUGACCGAACGUUUACCUUGACAAAACCGGAGUGCUCGAGGCGUGGGCGUUCGCCGCCCGUACGUCCUCGCUGGGAAUAAUGGAAGAGGACCGUUGGUCAAAAAAGGUUUUUUGUCARAGAGGUGGGAGAGCAAAAAAGAGGUUGUGCUGGUGGGGGGUUACAAAGGGGGGUGACUCCCUUUCCCCCUCUGGUCUUCCUCUUUCUCCUCCUCGAAACCUUCCUCCCCGCGUACAGCACUGUGGAUCGGCUGGCGCUUUAUGGCGGAAAGGGUGGAUCUAGAAAGAAGGGUGAAAGCAGGUGGCUGUUUGCCAGAUGGUGAAAACCGGAUGGCCGGUCGUUUGUGGAAGCCUGGAAUCUUUUUCCCCCUUGCUGUCGUGGUGCUUCCGUACCCUCGGUGUCAGCGGGAGGAGGUCGAAAAUCAAAAUAAAAAAACGUGUCAUGAUUAAGAGGGACGGCCGGGGGCAUUCGUACCGCGGCGCGAGAGGUGAAAUUCUAGGACCGUCGCGAGACGAACGAUAGCGAAAGCAUUUGCCAAGAAUGUUUUCCUUAAUCAAGAACGAAAGUCGGAGGUUCGAAGGCGAUCAGAUACCGCCCUAGUUCCGACCUUAAACCAUGCCGUCCGACCGCCCGCCAGGGUUACUACCGCGACUCGGCGGGCGGUGACUUUCCACCGGGAAACCCUUAAGCUUUCGGGUUCCGGGGGAAGUACGGUCGCAAAGCUGAAACUUAAAGGAAUUGACGGAAGGGCACCACCAGGAGUGGAGCCUGCGGCUUAAUUUGACUCAACACGGGGAACCUCACCCGGCCCGGACACCGCGAGGAUUGACAGAUCGAUAGCUCUUUCUCGAUCCGGUGGGUGGUGGUGCAUGGCCGUUCUUAGUUGGUGGAGCGAUCUGUCUGGUUAAUUCCGAUAACGAACGAGACUCUAGCCGGUUAAGUAGCCCGAGUGGCGUGUUGUUGAUUAAAAAACCGCCCUAGCGGCUUUCGGGGCACUUCUUGGAAGUUGUCUGGCUUUAACGGUGGUGGGACAGGGAGGUGGAAGACGACGGUCGGUGCCGCGUGUGUCGUGGCUCGGAUCUAG